This is an RNA transcript of Biomphalaria glabrata, 3959 nucleotides long. It is a transcript of the gene named probable phosphorylase b kinase regulatory subunit beta, with no coding region annotated. Lineage: Eukaryota; Metazoa; Mollusca; Gastropoda; Planorbidae. The transcript has 14 exons. The record is from RefSeq and is a predicted model, not a curated record.
UUCUGGAGUGACAGAGUUUGACACAGUUCGUGCAUGUAUAGAUCUAUAUAUGUGUAGUGGAGUGGAUAUCUUAUCAGGAAACACCGGCCACCCCGAUAUCCACGUGACCCUUCCCCCUAAAUGGCACCUUGUGUCCGCGCAUGACAAGGCAGACCAACAUGGUCACUGUUGAUUCGACCGGCAUCUCCCGUAUGUUACUGGACCUACGUCGUCUCCACUCCCUGUUUGUGUCUGGUUCUACACCAUGUGUUUAUGUAUGGCUGCAGAUUGUUGAACCAGUCAUUCAUUGACAGUUGUUUAUAGUAAACAAAGGAACAAAAUGAAGACACAAUGUCCAGAUGCAUGAAUUGGAGAUUUAGUAACAAAAGAAAAAGAACCUCAUAUGCUGAACAUAAAACUUAAUGGUUUUUAUAUGCUCUCAAAACAUCAAAUCUUGCGAAACCAGAGUCCUAUCAAUGGUCUUUUUCCUUCUAUUGGAUCUGACAAGAAUACAAAUAGAAUAGCUCAUGUUCAGGAUUCUAUUUACUGUGCAGUUGCUGUUUGGUCACUGGCUCAAGUUUAUAAAAAGAUUGAUGAUGACCAGGGCAGUAUCAUUAGUUGGGCCAAGCUGAUGAUAGGUAUGUUGCAAUGUUGGAUAUUCAAGUUGGCCUCCUUCAGUCUUAGAGCGACUAUGGUUCAUCUCAAACACUUUUCCAUGUGCAAUGUUGGAUAUGACAGGCAGAUAAAGUAGAAAAGUUCAAAUCCAAUUAAGUCCAGCAUAUGCCCUGCACUCUACAUUGGAUCUUGUCACUGGUUACCCAGCAUACAGAGGCAAAGUAUAAGAACAUUUGCAAAUAAUAAAUGAACACCUUUGAUUUGGAUUCCUCAACUCAAGGAAACAUACCAAUACUAGAACAGUCUUAAAAAAACAGCAGUGAGGCCAACAACUAGGGGAUUCAUUCAACAGAUGAAGUCAACUUCAUACAGAAUCUAGUUUUUUAUGUGGUGAGAGCUUAUAGAACACCUGACUCUGGGAUGUGGGAAAGAGGAAAUAUAACAAUGGAAGCACAGAGAUUCAUGCCAGUUGGCAUGGCUAGAGCAGCAGUAAGGCAGUCAAUGAAUGUAACUUAUUUGGUGAGCAUGGAGCCGCCUGGUCUGGGAUUUUUGUUAAUAUUGAUGCCCACCACAGGAACAGAACAAUAUUUGAAACUAUCUUACCCUGGGAAUCAAACUCUGAGAACACUGAUGCCUCUCUUCUAUUGAGUGUAAGUUGGCCUGCAUUAGUCAUAAAUGAAGAUGAGGUUAGAAUGAAAACAAUUGAGAAGGUCAUUCGCAAGUUAAAAGGCAACUUUGGUAUCAAACAUUUUCCUAAAGAAAGGUACAAAACAGCUAUAGAGGACAAAAAUAGAAAGUAUUACCGCUCUGCUGAAAUAAAGUUUUGAUGGGAUUGAAUUUGAGGGACCAAAGGUGUCAUUUUAAUUUAUUUACAUUUAUAAGCACAGUAAGACUUUUUGAUCUUUUGGCAUCAUUUUACAUAGCUCAGAAGACAGAAACUGCCACACAGUCUGCUCUGAACUCCCAAGAGUACUCCAAAUUACCAGGCCCCUUCAUAUGUUGACCUAACAAAGUCAAAAUUGCCAAGGAGAGUUGAGUAAAUAGAAGCGCAAAAGUUUCAUUUAUUAACUUUUAAAGCAAUAACACAGUUGAAUGUUCAAGUAUCCACCUGACUGAUGAAUGUUCAAGUAUCCACCAGACUGAUGAAUGUUCAAGUAUCCACCAGACAGAUGAAUGUUCAAGUAUCCACCAGAUAGAUGAAUGUUCAAGUAUCCACCAGACAGUUGAAUGUUCACGUAUCCACUAGACAGAUGAAUGUUCAAGUAUCCACCAGACAGUUGAAUGUGCAAGUAUCCACUAGACAGAUGAAUGUUCAAGUAUCCACCAUUUCAUUAAUUAUCAUAUUUCUCUUUUAGGAAAAUGUUUCUGUUUUCACUUUAUUUUAUUUUGUACCAGUCUAGUAUUUUGUACCAUUAAAAAUUUAUAUUUCAUGUUAGUAAAAAAGAUGUUUGAAAUUUUGUUUCAAAAUUUAUAAAAAAAAUCUAUAUAUAUAUAUUAAAAUAGUAAUUUACUCAACCUUGGAAUCCUAUCACUGAACUGGGAAAGCUAGCUUUGAUUGUUUUUGUUGUUGUAAAUAUAUAUGGCUCCUUUUGUCUCGAAAGGCAAUGGAUGCGCCCAAGUGAGUCACUGGUUUUGGCUUAAUCUUGAGACGGGGCAGAAUCUGGUGUGGCUAAUCAAGCCAAUUCUAGAACGGCAGACUUUGCCACAAUUCGUACAUUUGUAUGCCUCUGAUUUAGGGCUAGCAGACAGGGCAGCUUUCUUUUUUUCCCUCUUGAUUAAAGCCGCUUCAAUUCUUUUGUUCUCAGCAAGGGUUGUCCCAGCACGCACAGUCUGUCUCCAUGCACUCCGGUCUUUGGCUAUGUUUUCCCACAUACUUUCACUGAUGCCUGAGGCUCUCAUGUCUCGCUUGCAGACAUCUCUAUAUGUUAGUCUUGGGCGGCCCUUGGGUCUGACUCCUUCCACAAGUAAAUAUCCAUAUGGAUAGUGUGUAUAUUAUGCAAAGGUUGAUUAUUUAUUAGCUGUUAAGGUUGGAGUUUUCCUUUUUUUUUAUUUUUACAUGAUUUCAAUGUUAAAUACCACUGUAGUUGUCUUUCUGAUAAUGAUGCUAUGAUGUGGUCUUGGUAUAUUUUUUCUGUGAUUAGAUGUUGUAACAUAUAGAUAUUGACAAUGUAAAAAAGUUUAUAUACAACCAAGUUCAUACAUUAAUCUAUUUCACAAUCAUACAAACUAUAAACUGCGUAAAGCUUUUUGUUAUUAUUAAAAAUAUAAACUGUAAAGUAUUGGAUACUAAAAUGCAUUUUAAUUGAUUCUUCCCGAGCUAUAGUUUAUUGCAUCUUCAUUUUGUGUGUGCACAAUCUAUUGAAUUAAUAAUGUAAUUUUUUGUGAGAUGAUUUGUGUUGGUCACAUGUAUAUGUCAUUAGUUUCUAUCAUGAUUUUUUUAAAAGUAUUUGUGUAAAACCAGAGAGGUUUCAUUAAAUUUGUACUUUAUUAAUUUUUUAUUUUACAUUUUUGUUUAGUUUUAAUUUUACUUACAAGCUGAAUUUGUAUACAUAGCUAUGAUUUGAUGGAAUUCUUCUUUUUAUAAAAUUUUACAUGGUCUAAGGUUUUUGAGUUCAUUGAAGCUUUUUUUCAAAACUCUGAAGAGUUGAACUGAAGGCUUGUAAAACUAUAGGCCAGCAAAAAAUAAAAGCUUCCUCUCACCAGCCUGACUGAAAUGAUUGUUCUGUCUGGAAGAGAUCCUAAUUGAUGUCUGUAUCACACUACUAUUUCCAAUGCUUCAGAAGCUCCAGACACGGGGGCUAGAGAUUGGCAGACUGCUAAGCACACCAAGAACUCCUGCCAUCUUCCUGCUCUUUACCACACUCAACAAUCCCCAUUCCAUUUGUGAAACAGAAUGUUGGGAUUGUUGACAUGGUCAUAAAGACUCUCUUCCCAACCAAGACUUGAGCAAUGCUUUUCCAUUCCUAAUGAAGUCUUGUUUUCUUACUUCCUUGAAGCCUAAUUGUUUUGACCCAGGGGUGGGGGGGCACUAUGUUGUAGACUGGGAUGUUUGCUUUCUGACAGCAUUGUAGAAUAAUUAUAUUGUAAUAAAAUAUUUUUCAAAUAAAAAAAUUAAAUGAAACAAAACCUACAUCUUGGCUAUUAAAAUCCAGGUUAAUACUGCUAUUUGUUAUAUAAUGUAUGUGUCACUGUCAUGAGAUGUAUACAUUGGAUGCUUACAUAAACAUUGGUUUUGUGAAACAUCAGUCAAUUGUAUUUAUGACCCUACUCUAAAUGGCCUAGAAUGUUGAACAUAAGAGUACCAGUUCAAUGUUAGAGAAAAUAAUAGUAAGUAGGGGAGACAAUAAAAGAGUUUUAAUAUGUUC